GUCCACGCCGUAAACGAUGUCUACUAGUUGUCGGGGGACUUGAUCCUUUGGUAACGAAGCUAACGCGAUAAGUAGACCGCCUGGGGAGUACGGCCGCAAGGUUAAAACUCAAAUGAAUUGACGGGGGCCCGCACAAGCGGUGGAGCAUGUGGUUUAAUUCGAAGCAACGCGAAGAACCUUACCUACUCUUGACAUCCUGCGAACUUGGUAGAGAUACCUUGGUGCCUUCGGGAACGCAGUGACAGGUGCUGCAUGGCU
RNAcentral lists this ribosomal RNA (258 nucleotides) under uncultured bacterium. Its description in RNAcentral is "partial 16S ribosomal RNA". It matches the Rfam family "Bacterial small subunit ribosomal RNA", at positions 793 to 1050 of the family's 1533-position model. The record is from RNAcentral.